Long non-coding RNA from Phymastichus coffea, 1079 nucleotides. RefSeq lists it as uncharacterized. The record is from RefSeq and is a predicted model, not a curated record. The transcript is spliced from 3 exons. NCBI's taxonomy places the organism in Eukaryota, Metazoa, Arthropoda, Insecta, Hymenoptera, Eulophidae.
GAAACAUCAAGGAUAUCGACCAGAUGUAUGUAGUAGUCAUUAUCAUAUUAUUAUAAUUAGCGACAAUCUUUAACUUAACAAUUAGAUAAAUCGAGUGGUAUUUUAUGGUGAAUGAAACAUAGAAGCUUUUAUAAUUACAAAGCUAUAGUAUAAUAUGAAAUUAUAGUAAUUCUACAUUCCAGUGUUUCAAAUGAUUUAAUAUUUUCUUAUACUAAUAGGAGAUACAAUUGUAAACCCUAUAAUCAAUCUUAUAAUCAUAAAUUUUUCUCAUCUUCUAUUAGUAUAAGAAAAUAUGCAAGUUAUCAACAAUGAUUAUGAUAUACUAUUUUAUUUAGGGAAAUCAUAAUAAAUCUUCUUGGCGUACAUGUGUGAAUACUAUCGAUAUAAUAGCUUUGAAUGAUGGAGAAAAUUGUGCCGAAAUGUUCACGACAGUUAAUAUAGAUGAAUUUGAAAUAACAGACGAAGUGACUGGCGUUACCAAAAAAAUUCAACAAGUAGAGUGCAUUGCAAAAUCAGGUAAAAAAAAGUGUUGUAAUCAUAGCAAUCCACUAGAUUAUUUCUACUCUUGUGAACCUAUAAUGGGAAGUAUAUGUAUAGGAAAAAAAGAAGAUCAUUGUAUUGAAUAUUUGGAUAUAAUUGUAAGUUGUGACUGUAGCUACCACUACCAUAAAACUUUAUACUAAUACUUAGAUAUUAGAAAUGAUGUGGAUAGAUUUAGAAAAGAAUAUUGUUCACUUACAUUUUACUAAUAAUCUAGUAAUUAAAUCACCUUAAUUACUAGUAAAAUAGCUUACUGUAAAAAAGUUCUAUCCUGUAAUUAUUUUAUCUUAGUAUAUAAUUAAUGGCUGUGACUAUAAAAAUAAGAACAUUUAAUAUGGUUACUUUGACUGCGUUCGAUGACAUAUGAUUUAUACGUUUGAAUAUAAUUUUUCAUGUAUUCAAAAACGGUUUAACCAAAUAAUUUUAUUUGAAAAAUGUGUACUUGUUAUUACAAGAUUUUUAGUUAUCAUUGAAUGCUUGAAUUGUAAUAUUUACAAUCUACUAUUGUAACCUAAAUAUUUAUUAAUGAAAAAUAAGUA